GUUGUCUUGGCCGAGUGGUUAAGUUAGAUAGACUAGAAAUAUUUUGGGAUCUUCCCGCGCAGGUUCGAAUCCUGCCGAUAACG
This 83-nucleotide transfer RNA is filed under the name Dreissena polymorpha. Its description in RNAcentral is "tRNA-Ser". It matches the Rfam family "tRNA". From Rfam's summary of the family: Transfer RNA (tRNA) molecules are approximately 80 nucleotides in length. Their secondary structure includes four short double-helical elements and three loops (D, anti-codon, and T loops). Further hydrogen bonds mediate the characteristic L-shaped molecular structure. tRNAs have two regions of fundamental functional importance: the anti-codon, which is responsible for specific mRNA codon recognition, and the 3' end, to which the tRNAs corresponding amino acid is attached (by aminoacyl-tRNA synthetases). tRNAs cope with the degeneracy of the genetic code in two manners: having more than one tRNA (with a specific anti-codon) for a particular amino acid; and 'wobble' base-pairing, i.e. permitting non-standard base-pairing at the 3rd anti-codon position. Lineage: Eukaryota; Metazoa; Mollusca; Bivalvia; Myida; Dreissenidae. The record is from RNAcentral.